CCUACGGGUGGCAGCAGUGGGGAAUAUUGGACAAUGGGCGAAAGCCUGAUCCAGCCAUGCCGCGUGUGUGAAGAAGGCCUUCGGGUUGUAAAGCACUUUCAGUGGGGAAGAAAGCCUUGGGGCUAAUACCCUCGAGGAAGGACAUCACCCACAGAAGAAGCACCGGCUAACUCCGUGCCAGCAGCCGCGGUAAUACGGAGGGUGCGAGCGUUAAUCGGAAUUACUGGGCGUAAAGCGCGCGUAGGCGGUCUGAUAAGCCGGUUGUGAAAGCCCCGGGCUCAACCUGGGAACGGCAUCCGGAACUGUCAGGAUAGAGUGCAGGAGAGGAAGGUAGAAUUCCCGGUGUAGCGGUGAAAUGCGUAGAGAGCGGGAGGAAUACCAGUGGCGAAGGCGGCCUUCUGGACUGACACUGACGCUGAGGUGCGAAAGCGUGGGUAGCAAACAGGAUUAGAUACCCGAGUAGUC
Molecule: ribosomal RNA, 465 nt
Filed under: Vreelandella stevensii
Lineage: Bacteria; Pseudomonadati; Pseudomonadota; Gammaproteobacteria; Oceanospirillales; Halomonadaceae
Description: partial 16S ribosomal RNA
Rfam family: Bacterial small subunit ribosomal RNA
Source: RNAcentral